CUUAUAUACCAGCCGUCUCCCUCAGCUGGCAGUGUAGCUCUGUCAGUUUGACAUGGGCCAAUUCCUGUUGCACUGACAAUGCUUCUAUUUGGAUAACUGAUGCGAAAAGUGUCACUGUAAGAAGUCCACUUGCCACAUGGGAGUCUCCAGGAAUGUCAAAAUGAAGGACUCGGCCCUUUGGAGAAUCCAAAAUGAAAACAAAAUAAAGCCUACACCCUUCUAAGAGGAAAGGAAGAGAUAGCAUCUAAUAACAGGAAGAAGACCAAAAUCAUAGAAGACAAACAAAAAAGGAUUUCUGUGGAAAUCAAGGAAUUCCGCACAGAAGCACCCCAGUCCCAGGAUCGCUCCUUAGUUCCAGGCCAGCAGCCUCCAGCCUUCGCAUCUUCCUUUCCUUUGCUCUCCUU
RNAcentral lists this long non-coding RNA (404 nucleotides) under Equus caballus (horse). RNAcentral describes it as "lncRNA (ENSECAG00000059322.1)". Lineage: Eukaryota; Metazoa; Chordata; Mammalia; Perissodactyla; Equidae. The record is from RNAcentral.